GGGGUUGUAGCUCAGCGGUAGAGCGGUCGACUGCAGAUCGACAGGUCCCGAGAUCAAUCCUCGGCGGCCCCU
Blastocladiella emersonii ATCC 22665 is the source of this 72-nucleotide non-coding RNA. The record is from the annotation of a GenBank genome assembly. Lineage: Eukaryota; Fungi; Blastocladiomycota; Blastocladiomycetes; Blastocladiales; Blastocladiaceae.